UACGUAGGGGGCAAGCGUUGUCCGGAAUCAUUGGGCGUAAAGAGCGUGUAGGCGGCCAGAUAAGUCCGCUGUGAAAUCUCGAGGCUCAACUUCGAGCUGUCGGUGGAAACUGUCUGGCUAGAGUCCGGAAGAGGAGAAUGGAAUUCCUGGUGUAGCGGUGAAAUGCGUAGAUAUCGAGAGGAACACCUGCGGCGAAGGCGGGUAGCUGGGCCGACACUGACGCUGAGGCGCGAAAGCCAGGGGAGCGAACGGG
RNAcentral lists this ribosomal RNA (253 nucleotides) under uncultured bacterium. RNAcentral describes it as "partial 16S ribosomal RNA". It matches the Rfam family "Bacterial small subunit ribosomal RNA", at positions 524 to 776 of the family's 1533-position model. The record is from RNAcentral.